This 774-nucleotide ribosomal RNA is filed under the name uncultured bacterium. Its description in RNAcentral is "bacterial SSU rRNA". It matches the Rfam family "Bacterial small subunit ribosomal RNA", at positions 562 to 1338 of the family's 1533-position model. The record is from RNAcentral.
AAAGAGCUCGUAGGUGGUUCGUCACGUCGGAUGUGAAACUCUGGGGCUUAACCCCAGACCUGCAUUCGAUACGGGCGAGCUUGAGUAUGGUAGGGGAGUCUGGAAUUCCUGGUGUAGCGGUGGAAUGCGCAGAUAUCAGGAGGAACACCAAUGGCGAAGGCAGGACUCUGGGCCAUUACUGACACUGAGGAGCGAAAGCGUGGGGAGCGAACAGGAUUAGAUACCCUGGUAGUCCACGCCGUAAACGGUGGGCACUAGUUGUGGGGACCUUCCACGGUCUCUGCGACGCAGCUAACGCAUUAAGUGCCCCGCCUGGGGAGUACGAUCGCCAGAAUUAAAACUCAAAGGAAUUGACGGGGCCCCGCACAAGCAGCGGAGCAUGCGGCUUAAUUCGACGCAACGCGAAGAACCUUACCAAGGCUUGACAUAUACAGGAAUAUGGCAGAGAUGUCAUAGCCGCAAGGUCUGUAUACAGGUGGUGCAUGGUUGUCGUCAGCUCGUGUCGUGAGAUGUUGGGUUAAGUCCCGCAACGAGCGCAACCCUCGUUCUGUGUUGCCAGCAUUUAGUUGGGGACUCACAGGAGACUGCCGGGGUUAACUCGGAGGAAGGUGGGGAUGACGUCAAAUCAUCAUGCCCCUUAUGUCUUGGGCUGCACGCAUGCUACAAUGGCUGGUACAAACGGCUGCGAUACCGCAAGGUGGAGCGAAUCCGAUAAAGCCAGUCUCAGUUCGGAUUGGGGUCUGCAACUCGACCCCAUGAAGUCGGAGUUGCUAG